GCAAGCCGAGGGGUAUAUAAGAGCUUGCUCUUAUAGAGACCGGCGCACGGGUGCGUAACGCGUAUGCAACAUGCCUUAUACAGGAGAAUAGCCCAGAGAAAUUUGGAUUAAUGCUCCAUAUGAUUGUAGUACCGCAUGGUACAGCAAUGAAAGUUUUAACGGUAUAAGAUUGGCAUGCGUCCAAUUAGCUAGAUGGGGAGGUAACGGCUCACCAUGGCGAUGAUUGGUAGGGGGCCUGAGAGGGUGAAC
This 249-nucleotide ribosomal RNA is filed under the name uncultured bacterium. RNAcentral's name for it is "partial 16S ribosomal RNA". It matches the Rfam family "Bacterial small subunit ribosomal RNA", at positions 57 to 305 of the family's 1533-position model. The record is from RNAcentral.